UAUAGGUGCAGGUAAUGAAAA
This 21-nucleotide non-coding RNA is filed under the name Arabidopsis thaliana (thale cress). Lineage: Eukaryota; Viridiplantae; Streptophyta; Magnoliopsida; Brassicales; Brassicaceae. The record is from RNAcentral.